UGUUUUAGAUGCCCAGGUCUGUUCUCCUGGUCUGAGGAGACUGGGACUUAACAGUUCAAUGACCUUUAAUUCAAAGUGCCAGGACUGUUAGCUCUCUUUGCCAGUGGAAAAGUGCUACAGGGCUGUGGGGACAUGAAGUUUCAAGAAUAGGGCAGAGAUCAUCACAGAGUGACCACAGAGAGCUUAUACGGGCCCUUCAACCUUUGAUGAAAUUGAAAUUUGAAGUCUAGAAGGUUUCAAAUACUUUAAUUCACGUAUAAGGAUGCUGAAGCCCAGGAAAGUGAAGUCAACAUCUUUCAGCAUCCCAGGGAAUCUAAAGUGUCAUUUCCUCUCUGGAAGAAAGGAAGCACAAAACAUGCUGGGUAUGUACUCUAAAUUUUCACUCAGUGUCAGUUCUAACUAUAAAUUUCUCCCAAGUCCUGUAUCUCUCUCAUUCUUUUUCCCCAACCCUCUCCAAAUCUUACAUCAAUACCUUUCUUUUAAAGUUAGGAUGCAGGAUUUUUACAGGAUGACACAUAUUAAAUUAAAAUAAAGCUGUGACUGUAAAACAAAUUACCUUCUAUCCACCCCCAAUUCCUUUAAUCUAUUGCUUUCCACUGGAUUAUGUUCUGUAAGUGAUUUUGUUGUAAUGGUUAGUUUUGUUUUCAGGAAAAUCACAUUUUGCAAAUAAUGAGA
Molecule: long non-coding RNA, 675 nt
Filed under: Callithrix jacchus (white-tufted-ear marmoset)
Lineage: Eukaryota; Metazoa; Chordata; Mammalia; Primates; Cebidae
Description: lncRNA (ENSCJAG00000073732.1)
Source: RNAcentral